GGAGAUGUGGCUCAGCCGCAAAGUGCUUGCCUUGCAAGCGUGAGGCCCUGGGUUCGAUUCCCAGCACCCACA
Molecule: transfer RNA, 72 nt
Filed under: Leptotrombidium deliense
Lineage: Eukaryota; Metazoa; Arthropoda; Arachnida; Trombidiformes; Trombiculidae
Description: tRNA-Ala for anticodon UGC
Rfam family: tRNA
About the family: Transfer RNA (tRNA) molecules are approximately 80 nucleotides in length. Their secondary structure includes four short double-helical elements and three loops (D, anti-codon, and T loops). Further hydrogen bonds mediate the characteristic L-shaped molecular structure. tRNAs have two regions of fundamental functional importance: the anti-codon, which is responsible for specific mRNA codon recognition, and the 3' end, to which the tRNAs corresponding amino acid is attached (by aminoacyl-tRNA synthetases). tRNAs cope with the degeneracy of the genetic code in two manners: having more than one tRNA (with a specific anti-codon) for a particular amino acid; and 'wobble' base-pairing, i.e. permitting non-standard base-pairing at the 3rd anti-codon position.
Source: Rfam by way of RNAcentral